AUUGAACGCUGGCGGCAUGCUUUACACAUGCAAGUCGAACGGUAACAGGUUAAGCUGACGAGUGGCGAACGGGUGAGUAAUGCAUCGGAACGUGCCCAGUCGUGGGGGAUAACGCAGCGAAAGCUGCGCUAAUACCGCAUACGAUCUGAGGAUGAAAGCGGGGGACCGUAAGGCCUCGCGCGAUCGGAGCGGCCGAUGUCAGAUUAGGUAGUUGGUGGGGUAAAGGCUCACCAAGCCAACGAUCUGUAGCUGGUCUGAGAGGACGACCAGCCACACUGGGACUGAGACACGGCCCAGACUCCGACGGGAGGCAGCAGUGGGGAAUUUUGGACUAUGGGCGAAAGCCUGAUCCAGCAAUGCCGCGUGCAGGAAGGAGGCCUUCGGGUUGUAAACUGCUUUUGUACGGAGCGAAAAGGUCUCCUCUAAUACAGGGGGCUCAUGACGGUACCGUAAGAAUAAUCACCGGCUAACUACGUGCCAGCCGCCGCCGUAA
Molecule: ribosomal RNA, 493 nt
Filed under: uncultured bacterium
Lineage: Bacteria
Description: partial 16S ribosomal RNA
Rfam family: Bacterial small subunit ribosomal RNA
Source: RNAcentral